Molecule: non-coding RNA, 1308 nt
Organism: Camelina sativa (false flax)
Lineage: Eukaryota; Viridiplantae; Streptophyta; Magnoliopsida; Brassicales; Brassicaceae
Source: RefSeq, a predicted model, not a curated record
UGAGGUCCACCAUCAUCACUUCAGUUCGUCUUCCCUUCCUGUUUUGUUUGUUUUUUCCAUAGACUGGGAAAAUCAAUACCUCAAAGAAGAUAUAAAAGUAGCGAACUUUGAUUGAUAUCUGUGUUGGGUUUCAUACAAAGAAGACGACGUCUUUAAAGAUUGGAAAUUUCUCGGAUCUUUUGUUUCAAGCCCCCCUUUUUUUUUCUGAACAACUCUUGUUAGAGGUUAAGCUGAAGAAUCCAUUCACAGGUUUAGAUACUCCUUCAAUAGUCUUAGUCUUAGGGGUUGAUUUUUUUCAGUUUUCUUUAUUCUCUCUGUCUCUGCUUUCAUGAUUGCUUUUAUCAUGGAAGAUUUCGACCUUUGGAGGGAUUUUUUUGCUUUAUAUACGUGUUCAUUGGUUCCAACACUGUAGAAGUGAAAUUGCUUGCGAUUAGAUGUUAACAGGCUCGAAUUUUGUGUCUUUACGUUCUGUUUCUUGGGUUAAUGGAUGCGCUAAAUUCUGAAUCUUUUUCUUCAUCCUUCAGUCUAAUGUUCACAAUAGUUACUGCUUUAAACUCAUGAAGAGCUUUAUUGCUAUGUUAUUUCGUUGGUUCUCACUUCUAAUCUUAUAGGCUUGUUUUAUUGUUUACUUUGAUUCUCUGGGUUUGACUUUUGAGUACUCAAAGUUGUCAUAUGUUGCUUCAUGCUAAGUUCAAAUGUAAUGGUUUGGAUCUUAAAGAUGUUUACAAGUCUGCAAAUUUUGAACCAAUCACAUGUGAUCAGGUCUAUAGCUCUAGUUUUUUGGUUUCUGUUUACCAUCGUGCUUUGACAGUCUGUCACUCCAUCUAGGUGAUUCUAAAAGUUUUUACUUGGAAGGGAACCACGCUUGGAUCAGUUUUUGUCUGAUGAUUCAGUAAGAGAGAUUUAGAAGAAAAAAAAAAAAAUGGGAGAUACUAGUCCAAGAACAUCAGUCUCAACAGAUAACGACACUGAUCAUAAUAACCUAAUGGGUAAAUCACCUUCUCGCGCAUGGUGAGAAGAGAGGGUAACCGGCGGGAUCACGGAGAACGCGUUUCCUGUUUAAAGCUGUCGUGAGGACCGUCUACACGAAGAAAGACGUUCAAAAAUCAAACAGAAAUCGGCUUUCAACGGUCAAUAAAUCAUUAUUAUUACUUUUCUUUGAUUUCUAAGAUAUCUUGUUUGAAUGCUUUAGAAAGAUAUAUUUUUAUUUGUUUACCUAGAAAACGAUCCUGAUUUAUAUCUAACUAGAUUAUGAUCAGUGAAAUUGAUUUAUUAUGUUAAUUUUAAGAUCUACUUCUCUUCUCUUCA